RNAcentral lists this ribosomal RNA (836 nucleotides) under uncultured bacterium. RNAcentral describes it as "bacterial SSU rRNA". It matches the Rfam family "Bacterial small subunit ribosomal RNA", at positions 588 to 1425 of the family's 1533-position model. The record is from RNAcentral.
UNUGAAGUUAAAGGCUGUGGCUUAACCAUAGUACGCUUUGGAAACUGUUUAACUUGAGUGCAGAAGGGGAGAGUGGAAUUCCAUGUGUAGCGGUGAAAUGCGUAGAUAUAUGGAGGAACACCGGUGGCGAAAGCGGCUCUCUGGUCUGUAACUGACGCUGAGGCUCGAAAGCGUGGGGAGCGAACAGGAUUAGAUACCCUGGUAGUCCACGCCGUAAACGAUGAGUGCUAGGUGUUAGGCCCUUUCCGGGGCUUAGUGCCGCAGCUAACGCAUUAAGCACUCCGCCUGGGGAGUACGACCGCAAGGUUGAAACUCAAAGGAAUUGACGGGGGCCCGCACAAGCGGUGGAGCAUGUGGUUUAAUUCGAAGCAACGCGAAGAACCUUACCAGGUCUUGACAUCCCGAUGCCCGCUCUAGAGAUAGAGUUUUACUUCGGUACAUCGGUGACAGGUGGUGCAUGGUUGUCGUCAGCUCGUGUCGUGAGAUGUUGGGUUAAGUCCCGCAACGAGCGCAACCCUUAUUGUUAGUUGCCAUCAUUCAGUUGGGCACUCUAGCGAGACUGCCGGUAAUAAACCGGAGGAAGGUGGGCAUGACGUCAAAUCAUCAUGCCCCUUAUGACCUGGGCUACACACGUGCUACAAUGGCUGGUACAACGAGUCGCAAGUCGGUGACGGCAAGCUAAUCUCUUAAAGCCAGUCUCAGUUCGGAUUGUAGGCUGCAACUCGCCUACAUGAAGUCGGAAUCGCUAGUAAUCGCGGAUCAGCACGCCGCGGUGAAUACGUUCCCGGGCCUUGUACACACCGCCCGUCACACCACGAGAGUUUGUAACACCCGAA